GUCUGGGAGCCGGAGGGUGCGGCUUCCGCCGCUGGGUCAGCCGUUCUUUUUCUACUUCUACUUCUUCUUCGCGUCUGGGUCUUUGCAGAUCCUCCUUUUACCUUCCCCUCGCGCCUCGUUCUCUCCCGCGCUUGCUGCGACGGGACUUUCCAGCAUCCCUCACUUUCCCAUCGCGGCCUCCGAUCCGCAGCGGCGGGCCGAGCUGGCGAAUGGCUGCCGAGCCACCUCCCAGGGUCUAGUCUAGUGGGGGAGGGGGGGAAACAGACCCCGAAACUCGAGCCCCGGCCCAGCGUAGGCUGGGGAAGAAAAAAAAAAAAAAAUCAAUCCACUGUCAUAGCAUUGUGUUGUUGUUCUAGACACAUUAUCACGCCACUUUGUGAUUAGGUUAUCUCGAGGAUUAUAUGGUAAUGGUUUUGAAGCCCCACUUGGGUUGUACAUCCGACAGGUGAUAUUCCUUGGAGAGGCCUGUGGGGGAGUUGAAAAGCCAGAUGUUGGUCUUCGGUCUAUUUAAAGGGGCCACAUUAUUAAGAUGGGCUAAAUUAGGCCGGGCCUGGUGACGCGAGCCUUUAAUCCCAGCAUUCUGGAGGAUUGCCGUGAGAUCGAAGCCACCCUAAGACUACUUAGUGAAUUCCAGGCAGGGUCACAUUCUAGCCUAGGCUGACUUGGAACACUAUAGCUCAGGCGAGCUUCGAACACACAGCAGUCCUCCUACUUCAGCCAUCUGGAGUGAUGGGAAGCCUAAGGACCCCGAUUCGAGGCUCGUUUCCCCAGGACCCACGUUAGCCAGAUGCACAA
Long non-coding RNA from Jaculus jaculus (lesser Egyptian jerboa), 795 nucleotides. RefSeq lists it as uncharacterized. The record is from RefSeq and is a predicted model, not a curated record. The transcript is spliced from 3 exons. Lineage: Eukaryota; Metazoa; Chordata; Mammalia; Rodentia; Dipodidae.